Echinops telfairi (small Madagascar hedgehog) is the source of this 453-nucleotide long non-coding RNA. RefSeq lists it as uncharacterized. The record is from RefSeq and is a predicted model, not a curated record. The transcript is spliced from 3 exons. Lineage: Eukaryota; Metazoa; Chordata; Mammalia; Afrosoricida; Tenrecidae.
AUUGGCUCCUGACUCGUGGCAGCCACAAUCAUAACCACUACCCGGCCCCAUGCCGGAGGACGCCCUGGCAUGGACAGCUAGCCGCAAGGAGCAGAUCACCAGGCCUUUCUGCGUUGCCCAUCUGACUAUGGAAACUCCACUGAAACCUCGUCAGUGUCAUAGCAGCAGGAGGUGCUGGACUCAUCACAGUAUUUGAACUUGGAGAGCCCUGGCGAUGGCAGACUACCUCGGACUAGGAAACCGGGACUCAGAUGGGAGAGUGACUUGGCCAGGGUCACGCUCCGGUGUUGAUAGCUGAACUGGCAUGACCUUCAAGUUCUGCACUCUCUGCCUGGGGCUCAAAGAACCACCCAGAAAGAAAAGCUGGAACAAAUUAGAUGCCACUUUGCAGAAUGUCUGCUACAUGCAGCCUGGCCAUGGUUCCCCUCCUCCUCCACCCUUUCCUCCUGUGCC